GAUGAACGCUGGCGGCGUGCCUAACACAUGCAAGUCGAGCGGUAUAUACUUAAGUGAGACUUCGGUCGAGCGAGAGUAUAGAGAGCGGCGGACGGGUGAGUAACGCGUAGGCAACCUGCCCCAUACACAGGGAUAGCCUCGGGAAACCGGGAUUAAAACCUGAUAAUGCGAAGGAUCUACAUGGAUCUUUCGCCAAAGAUUUAUCGGUAUGGGAUGGGCCUGCGUCUGAUUAGCUAGUUGGUGGGGUAGCGGCCUACCAAGGCAACGAUCAGUAGCCGACCUGAGAGGGUAAUCGGCCACAUUGGAACUGAGACACGGUCCAAACUCCUACGGGAGGCAGCAGUGGGGAAUAUUGCACAAUGGGCGAAAGCCUGAUGCAGCAACGCCGCGUGAGCGAUGAAGGCCUUUGGGUCGUAAAGCUCUGUCCUUGGGGAAGAAAAAAAUGACGGUACCCAUGGAGGGAGCCCCGGCUAACUACGUGCCAGCAGCCGCGGUAAUAC
RNAcentral lists this ribosomal RNA (500 nucleotides) under uncultured bacterium. RNAcentral describes it as "bacterial SSU rRNA". It matches the Rfam family "Bacterial small subunit ribosomal RNA", at positions 28 to 526 of the family's 1533-position model. The record is from RNAcentral.